UUGAACGCUGGCGGCAUGCCUUACACAUGCAAGUCGAACGGCAGCACGGGGGCAAUCCUGGUGGCGAGUGGCGAACGGGUGAGUAAUAUAUCGGAACGUGCCCAGUCGUGGGGGAUAACGCAGCGAAAGCUGUGCUAAUACCGCAUACGUCCUGAGGGAGAAAGCGGGGGAUCGCAAGACCUCGCGCGUUUGGAGCGGCCGAUAUCUGAUUAGCUAGAUGGUGGGGUAAAGGCUCACCAUGGCGACGAUCAGUAGCUGGUCUGAGAGGAUGAUCAGCCACACUGGAACUGAGACACGGUCCAGACUCCUACGGGAGGCAGCAGUGGGGAAUUUUGGACAGUGGGGGAAACCCUGAUCCAGCCAUUCCGCGUGAGUGAAGAAGGCCUUCGGGUUGUAAAGCUCUUUCGGCAGGAACGAAACGGCGGAAUCUAAUACAUUCCACUAAUGACGGUACCUGAAGAAGAAGCACCGGCUAACUACGU
Molecule: ribosomal RNA, 482 nt
Filed under: uncultured bacterium
Lineage: Bacteria
Description: bacterial SSU rRNA
Rfam family: Bacterial small subunit ribosomal RNA
Source: RNAcentral